UUAUGUCUUGUGAGAAAAAGUGUUUUGUCUCUGUUUCAAUACUAGAAGUUAAGAUCUUAAAAUUUUCAGUGUAUAAUGUUCAUAGAAUGUUUGUUACAGGCCCUUGCUCCUAUAGACUUUUAGAAUUUUUAGGUAAAUGGCUUUCAAAAGUUGUUAGGAUAUAUUAAUUGGCUUUAUCUUAUAUUUACCUCAUUUUAAGCUUGCCACAGAAGGUCUUAAACCUCUGUUUUCAAGGUAGGAAACGUUUGUUCCUUGCUUUAAGCAACAAUCAAAUUUAUUAUUAAUGGUUGAUCUAUUACAUGGCAAGCAUUUUUAGGCAAAAUUAAUAAUUGUUAUCCAAAAGAUAAUUUGUACUAUCAGAUCACAUGUUUAUUCCUUUAAGUUUCUCCCUGCUUCAACACAGAUACCUGAAUUGGGUGCUAUAGCAGCUAUUUUUAAGAUGUUAAAGGUCAAGCUUUUAAUAAUAGUAGAUAUACAUAGCUCAUGGUUUAUAAUUGCUUAAAAUUGGUCCAUUUUUAAUACUGCUAAUUCUUAAUAUUUACAGUUUAUACAAAUGUGAUUCAAAUUUCUAAGAACAAAGGAUAUAUUCUCUAAAUGACUGUCCUUUAGGUAUUUGAAAUAAUUUUAUAUUUUGUGCACAUCAAAUUAUAAAGAUUUGUUCUUGAUGUCCUCAAUUUCUACCUCUACCACGUAAUGGUGUUAAUCCUAGAGGACUUAGUUAUUACAGAUAAAUGAUAUUCAUAUUUCUAAUUUAAAAGAUUAAAAAAAUAUGUACAUGUGACUAAUGAUUCAUUUUUAGGCUGUCUAGUUGCAACUGCUCUAACAGAAAAAGCAACUAUAUUUUAUAUAAUUACAUAGUUAUUGCCUAUGUUAUGGGUUAUACUUUGUGUUCCAACUUAAAUUAAUAAAACAAUAUCUUCUUGGAAGAAAGAAGAGAGGGGAAAUUGUGUCCCUGUGCAUAUAAUUUAAAUUAUGCUUACAUGUUUUUAAGAAAAUUUUAAAAUUUUAAAAUUUAGAUGCCAAGAAACUCCUUGCUAAAUGUAUAUGACAUCUUGUAAUUAGACAUAUUGAUGUCUAGGUGAAAUGAAGGAAUUCACUUACUAACAUAUGCCAUGAUCCUGAUUUAAUAUUGGGGGAGAAGGCAUGUCCUCUGUUUUUUCCACAGAAUGCUGCAGAAGAUAUGCUGACUGUGUGCUUGCUGAAUGCCCAGACCAUGGUAACAUAAGAGCUAUAUUGGAUAUAUGUUCUUGACUUACCUCAAUUGUUAAAUGUCCCAGGUUAGAUAAAUUGCCUAGCUUCAAGCUUUUAGACUUUGUGGGACAGAACAUGGAGACUGUUAUGCUAGCUUAGGAAAAAUUAAUUAGAAGAGUUAAAAUGACUCUUCUCCUUAUUGUGUUCAGCUGACUCAACCAUAGACUGGUCUAGAAAUAAUUCCAAUAUUGAAGAUUCCAAUUUUGAAGAUGGCUAACAAUCUUCAGCCAGCUGUGUUAAUUUAACAUAUAGUCUCCACUUUUCCUGAGAAGUAACAGCUUAAUUCUUGAUUCACAAGGCUACCUCUCCCACCUCAGAGGCCAAGCUUUGGAUCCUUAAAGUUGUUAAUUUACAACUGAAUUGGAUACUUCUGGGACAAGUUAAUCCUAUUCCACCUUUAACUCUUGACCUUGUCUGUUAAGCAGACUGGCUGUCUCCACCCAGGCUCACCUGGAUGGAGAGAUUACAUGUCUGUUAAAGACACUUGCAGACCCCCCUGGCUUCAAAACUUACACAAGUGGAUCUCCAAAGAGGGAGCCACAUAGAACUCAGAUCUAUGUGUGUUUGUUUUUGAACAAACAUGGGUACCAGCGAGACGUGCGAGGCAAAGCACUGCAUGGGGAGGUGAAUUUCUGCUUCUGAGUCCCCAGGAAGUACACCUAAUUGCAUAGGGGUUAACGUCGAGAGGCUGUCCUUAAAAUAAUAAGGGAGCCUAUUACCCCUCCUCUGAAAAAGACGUUAUACAAUAUUUAAGAGGAAUUACGGUCAAUGCUUCCCCUCCUGGUUAAGGCCCGCCUUCUUAUGAAGGAUAUUUAUCCACUUGUUUUCUACCUCCUCGUGUUCAAAUUAAUAAAAAAAGGGAGGACAUGUACAGAGCCAUAUUGGGGCAGUCUUGCACUUGGUCAGAGUUUGACUUUGGUCAAGGUUAACUUCUCCCAGUUAGCCAGGAUUCUGCUCCACUUAGGGUGGAGCGCACGUAGUAAAGGUUAAGUUCAUUGUUCUUCCUGGUAUAGGGAUUCCUGAAUUAAACAGGUGACCCACCCAGCUGCCGGAGCAGUCAAGACGAAGACCUCCAAGAGAAGCUAGACAACUUCCACCGGAACUCAGCCUGGAGUCUGGGGGGAGGGUUUGCCCAAACUGUUAAAAGGUCCGGCGCCAUUAAAGUUUACGGCUUCGAUCAGUGAA
Apodemus sylvaticus (European woodmouse) is the source of this 2436-nucleotide long non-coding RNA. RefSeq lists it as uncharacterized. The record is from RefSeq and is a predicted model, not a curated record. The transcript has 2 exons. Lineage: Eukaryota; Metazoa; Chordata; Mammalia; Rodentia; Muridae.